Molecule: ribosomal RNA, 99 nt
Filed under: uncultured bacterium
Lineage: Bacteria
Description: partial 16S ribosomal RNA
Source: RNAcentral
CGCCGCGUGGAGGAUGAAAUAAUCUUUGGGUAUGUAAACUCCUUUCGAUGGGGAAGAUAAUGACGGUACCCCAUAGAAGAAGCCCCGGCAACUUCGUGC